This 429-nucleotide ribosomal RNA is filed under the name Bacteroidota bacterium. RNAcentral's name for it is "Bacteroidetes bacterium partial 16S ribosomal RNA". It matches the Rfam family "Bacterial small subunit ribosomal RNA", at positions 355 to 776 of the family's 1533-position model. Lineage: Bacteria; Pseudomonadati; Bacteroidota. The record is from RNAcentral.
UAGGGAAUCUUCGGCAAUGGGGGGAACCCUGACCGAGCAACGCCGCGUGAGUGAAGAAGGUUUUCGGAUCGUAAAGCUCUGUUUCUAAGGAAGAACGAGUGUGAGAAUGGAAUGUUCAUGCUGUGACGGUACUUAACCAGAAAGGGACGGCAAACUACGUGCCAGCAGCCGCGGUAAUACGUAGGUCCCGAGCGUUGUCCGGAUUUAUUGGGCGUAAAGCGAGCGCAGGCGGUUAGAAACGUCUGAAGUGAAAGUCAGUGGCUCAACCAAUGUAGGCUUUAGAAUCUGUUUAACUUGAGUGCAGAAGGGGAGUGUGGAAUUCCAUGUAUAGCGGUGAAAUGCGUAGAUAUAUGGAGGAACACCGGUGGCAAAAGCGACUCUCUGGUCUGUAUCUGACGCUGAGGCUAGAAAGCGUGGGGAGCGAACAGG